Molecule: long non-coding RNA, 849 nt
Filed under: Nicotiana benthamiana
Lineage: Eukaryota; Viridiplantae; Streptophyta; Magnoliopsida; Solanales; Solanaceae
Description: long non-coding RNA (NBEN_LNC003108)
Source: RNAcentral
CAUAAUAAAAGGGACAUCAGAAAUAUACGAAAUUCCCUCAUAAUCAUGUCCCCCGCUACGGAUUUUUAACUGUAAAUUAGUCUCUAUGGUGCAAAGAACAGCGCUGGAAACAUGGGAUUCUUCUGUAGGGGUAACGAUGAUAACCGGUUUGGAAGUUGUGGAGGAAUUAAAAAACCGGCGGUUUCUGACAUAGGCUUGUAAAAUGGUGUUAAAGGAGGCAUUGUUUGGGGAAUAGACGAUUUUGGAGAUUUCUGAUUGGGGAAUUGAUUUCGUUGUUAAGCAAUUGACAAACGAGUCAUAGGCUGAAUCUGAGGUUAAAGGAGGUAUUGUUUGGGGAAUAGACGAUUUUGGAGAUUUCUGAUGGGGGAAUCGAUUUCGUUUUUAAGCAAUUGACAAACGAGUCAUAGUCUGAAUCUGAGGCUCCAAGGGAUAAGGAACUGAAUUUUAAAAGGAGGAGAAAAUGAAAAAGGAAAAGAAGACAAGAACAAGACAUGGUUGAUGAUUGAGAAGAUCUUUUCAUUAGGUUUUGGUUGUUUUUGGGUUGGAGACCUAAAGAGCAUUGGUUUUAUAGGGUUUAUAUAGCAAUGAAAUGAUUAUGAAAAAAAAUACUCCUAAAAAGGAAUCAUUUUUUGAAGUUUUAUUCACACAAUGGGGUUGCCCCUUCUUUGCAUGAGGAAAUUCUUAAAUUUUCAAUAUAUUGUAAUUUUGCUUGGAUUUAAAAUCUUUCUAAUUGUACGCGAUUCUUCUAUUUUUCACUGUUUGUUUGUUUCUCACUCGAUAUUCAAUUAUUUGUAUGGUGGUAUGACUAAAUUUGUAUUUGCCGCGACUAGCUAAGAAAAUAUUUUUUUC